This is a long non-coding RNA of Neofelis nebulosa (Clouded leopard), 6122 nucleotides long. RefSeq lists it as uncharacterized. The transcript is spliced from 2 exons. The record is from RefSeq and is a predicted model, not a curated record. NCBI's taxonomy places the organism in Eukaryota, Metazoa, Chordata, Mammalia, Carnivora, Felidae.
AGGGAAAAAAAAGCAGGAAUGGGGAGGGGCAGAGAGAGAGGGGGACAGAAGAUCUGAAGCGGUCUCUGCACUGACAGCAGAGAGCCUGAUAAAGGGUGUGAACUCAGGAACGGUGAAAUCAUGACCUGAGCUGAAGUUGGGUGCUUAACCGACUGAGCCACUAGGUGCCCCAAUUUAAUUCUUGUUAAGAUUUUAUUAAAAAAAAUUUUUUUUUUAACGUUUAUUUAUUUUUGAGACAGAGAGAGACAGAGCAUGAACGGGGGAGGGACAGAGAGAGAGGGAGAUACUGAUUCGGAAGCAGGCUCCAGGCUCUGAGCCAUCAGCCCAGAGCCCGACGCGGGGCUCAAACUCACAGACUGCGAGAUCAUGACCUGAGCUGAAGUCGGAUGCUUAACCGACUGAGCCACCCAGGCGCCCCAGGAUUUUAUUUUUUAAGUAAUCUCUGCAUCUGACAUGGGGCUUGAACUCAUAACCCUGAGAUCAAGAGUUGUAUGCUUUACCGACUGAGCCAGCCAGAUUUGACAACUGCUAAAUUAACAAGUUAUUUAAUUUUAAAUAGCAAAAUAUUAUUUUUUUCAUUUGUUUACAAUAUUGUGUUGGUAUGUUUAGUUUGAAUAGAUGAUAGUCAUGUGUUUCCAUUCUAGAAGGCUACCUAAUACAUUAGCCAACGUUAACUUUUAGCCAAUGUUAAGUUAAGCCCAAGCUUUGGUGAUGGCUAGUUAUAAUCUGUUUUUAAUAAGAAUCUUCAAAGGUAAAGUUUAAAACAAAGGAAGCCAUCAUUUAAAAAAAUAGUUGAUGGCAUUAUAGUACCAUUUGUAGCUUUCUUUUAUAAUUAUAGGCCUCUCUACAAAGCACUUUAAGUAAAUAUUUGUGUAGAGAAAAUUGGGCAUAUUGAUAAAUUGAUAUACUUUCAAUAAACUUGAAAUCUGUGCUAGGAAAAGCUGUGCUUAAAAAGUGAAGGUAUAAUAAUUUACAUCUGAGAAGCAAAUCUGAAAAUUUUGAUCACUUGGUCUUUCUGGAGAAUAUUUUUUUCCCUUUCUCUGUUUAAUGAGAAUAGGACCCAAUUUAAUGGAACCGUAGCUGCCUCCAGCUUGUCUAGAAUGAGGGAAGGUUCUGGUAGUUGAGUCUGUUAAAAAUGAGACUUACUUACUUUUCUCCAUUCCUAGAAGACAAGGGAGUUCUUGUCUGCUACUGGGCACAGAGCCCCUGAAGGAACACCUGGAUUUCUUGACACUUUGUUGAGCCCUCUAAACAGAAUGAAUUACUUGCAGCUGUGGGAGAUGUAAAAGUAUAAACAUGGUCCCUGUUUGAAUAUGUAAAACAAAUAAAGAUGUUUAUAAAGCAACCAGUACAGAUGAGAAUCAUACAAAUAAGAACAAAAGUGAGAGGGGGCCAAAAGUAAGAAUAAUUUGAGUUAUUAGAAUUGGAGACCUGUCCCAAUGUUUUUCAACAUGGGAUGAUUUUUCUCUCCUAGAGGACUUUUUGUAAUGUUUGGAGACAAACUGAUUGUCACAACUGCAGCUGGCAUGGGAGAAGUUGUAAUACUGGUGUCUAGUGUGUAGAAACCAAAGCUACUGCUAAACAUCCUACAAUGCACAGGACAGUCCCAUACAGCAAAGAAUUAUCCAGUCCAAAUGUCUGUAGUGCCAAGGCAGAGAAACCAUGCCCUAUCCUGGGGAAGCAGACUUUGCAGAAAACCUAUCUUGAGGACUUUAAGGGCUUUGGGCCUGGAAAUUCUCUCAAACACAUCCAAAACACUUGAAUGACACAGUGAAGGCUCUGCCUGGUAAGAUAAAAAGGUAUGAAAAAAUAUUUUCUUCUGUUUUUUGGUGCAUAACCCAUAAUAAGAGGGCUUAGUUGCUCUCUGCUUACUAUGAAUUUUCUGCAGUAAACUGGCGAAAAAUGCUUUCCCUGGUUUUAUUUUGUAUUGCAGUUUCUUAUAGCUAACAUAUUCUUGUUAUUGCAUUCUUUUUUUUUUUUUUGCCACUUUCUGCUGUAAAACAAAACAAAACAAAAAAAACCCCAAACAACAAAAAAAAAACCCAAAACCAUGUAAACUCUGAAAAAAGCAAACAGUAUUAUACGAAAGAUCCCGAAGCUUAGAGGAAGCCAGCAGAGGUGUUAGGAGAAUGUGCUUUAGAAGGCUUCCUUUCAAUCCUCUGUUCCCUGCAGAGAAGCGAGGUGUCAGUUCUGUUUUAUCACUAAGUCCAGUAAGCCAGGAGGAGAAUGAAAGUAGCAUGGGCUUUGAUAUCCUGUAGACCUAGAUUUGAAUCCAGGCCCAUUCUAUACUAGGUGUCUGACCUUGGGCAAGUAUAUAAUUUACUUGUGUACUCUGAACUCAGUACAGAGUACUUCUCUGCCAGGGGGUAAUAUCUGUUUCACUGGUGGUGAAGGGCAGUAGAGUACAGUGGGUAAGGCUGUGGACUCUCACACCUAAUUGCCUGGCUUCAGAUCUUCACUCAGCUACUUCUAGUUCUGUGCCCUUUGGUAAGUUUCUCAACCUUUUCUAGACCUCCAUUUCUUCACUUGAAAAAUGAGAAUAAUUGUAUCAGUAUUUACCUCAUAGGGCUGUUAGGACAUUAAAUGAAUUAAUAAAUGUAAAACACUUAAAAAGUGGUGCUGGACAAAUAGUAGGCACAGGAAAUGUCAGCUAUUUUGGAGAUUAAUUUGAGAUAAAGGAUGUAAAGAACCCUGUAGUGUCUAGCAAAAGAAGGUGCUUGAUAACUGGUUUUUCAAAAUUUAAACUUUAGUAGCUGACAGUUUAUUAUAAUAUAAUGCCAUUAUAAUAAAAUCAUUAGCCCCUGAAGUUAAAUUAGUGGGGAUUUGGUCUUAAGUCUUCAGGAUACAAAAAGGAAACUGCUCAUUCUUUUGCUUCUUACUUGUUCCUGGCCAAGACUCCUUUGGAUCUAUGUUCAAAAUGUGCUUAAAGAAUUGCAAGCCUAGCCAGACUUUUGUGGAAUUAUAAGAGGCAACUAGAACAGCCGCCUGAGUGCAUGGAGUGGUGAGGGAUGUUUGGGUUGGAAAUAGUUGUUUCUCUAGUCCGGCUUUCAUGAAAGCCCCCUGGGCGGAGAGGAAGUAGAGAAAUAGCAGGAAAAGUUUGCUUGUUUUUGAACUCCCUGCUUAUCCUUGGGGUGUGGGUGUGUGUCAGGUGAAGAGGUCCCAUCCUUCUUGAUGGUAUAGGGGAUUUAGACUCACUUGAAGGUAAUUUACAGUGGAAUCAAAUAUCCAGUUAUACCUGUCCCUGUUAGAUAUUGGGUUGUAGACAUAUUUAUAGCGCACACAUGGGCCAGGCUUUUCUUAGAAUAUGAGAAUAUAUUAUCUCAUGGUAAGAUAAAGUGUAUGUAAAGGGGUUAGCUUGGCAUUGUGCUUUAUUAAGAGUUAGCUGUCAUCAUCAUCAUCAUCACUGUCCUUACUCUUAAACUUUAUGUUUUAGUUAAGACACUAAUGAAGUCUUUAAUAGUUAUUCAGCAAUUCUACUUCCCCUUUUUACUUUUUUACUUCUUAGGGCAUACACACAUUCAAAGGAGCGCAUGUCAUAAUUUUACAGCUUGAUGAAUUUUCACAAACUAAACACACUCAUGCCUUCAACACUCAAGGGACAUACUCACUGGUAUCCUAGAAGCCCCACUCAUGGUCCCUUCUUGCCAUUAUCCUUCAGUUUUCAGGAAAAAAAUUGUUUUUCUCUUUAGUGACAUUCAAAGCUACUCAUGCAUGGCUUUAUGUAAACUCUUAAUAGCUAUGGCUGACAGUUAUAGCUGGCCUUAUUACACCCUUUUAUUUUCUUACGCUUUAAAAAGCACUUCUCCUGGAAAGGGUUUUAGUCCUAUAGACUGUUACCUUUGGACAUGAAUAGGCUGAGUGAUCUCGUAGAUCAUCCUCUGCAAAUAGGUGAUGUGUUUUUUGCUUUUAUUUGUCCAUAUUAUAGAAGUCCAUUAAAACCCAAAAGUUGUCCAUUGUACAAAAAGAAAAGGAAAUUGACUCAGCUGCACAGACCUCUUAGAUGUCUUCUGUAAAAGCAUUCCACAUUGAAAAGAGCUCAAGGCACAUGAAAGAAAUCCUAUGGUGGAGGAAGACUACACAAUGCUGGGUGCACUUUGGGGGCUCUCAUCUUCUGCCAUCGAACAAGGUGAUAAGGCUGAAGGACUGGCUACUUUUGGAAGUAAUGGACCUCAGUUAGUUUCCUGUGCUUUUGUCUGGGCAUAGUUAGAAAACCAUGGAGAAUUUUUCAGAAGGCAGCUUCUCAGAGGAAGAAUAAAACUGUGGGGGUUGAGUUUGAGGCUCUUCACAGUACUGAAACAUUCACUCUGGAAUCACCAGGGCAUUAGCCUUGCUUUGCAUGACUUGUUUAACUUUGUGGGCCCAGCUAAUGGCUCUGCUAAAAUAUUGUGUAUGCAUUUCAGAAUAUUAUUAGUCAUUUUGGCCAUUGCUUUAUUUCUUAAUAUUUAUUUGUUAAUUUAAAAACAUUGAGAUCUAAUUCACAUACCAUAAAAUCUACCCCUUUAAAGCAUCCAGGUCAAUGGAUUUUAGUAUGGAUAUUUAUCAUCACUAUCUCAUUCCAGAACAUUUUCUUCUCCCCUGAGAAGAAACCCCUGCCCAUUAGCAGUCACUCUCUCCAUCCUAUUUACUUAGUUUUGCCAAAUAAGUGUCAUUGCUAUCUUUAUUUCAUAGAAGUCUUUCCUCUAUAGGAUGUCAUGACAGUUGUGUGACCUUUUACAUAGGGGUGUGCCCCAUCUAACAUCCAUUGUAAAGUUGAAUUGGGGGUGCAUUUUCAGCACUACCACCAACCCCAUGUUGAUUGAAAUCGUUUUAGGACAUAAAAUGACAGUAUGUUUACUUACAGUCACUUACAAAAACACCCAAAAAAUGAAUAAUCCAAUUAAAGAAUGGGCAGAAAGCAUGUAUAGACAUUUUUCUAAAGAAGACCUACAGAUGGCCAACAGACACAUGAAAAUAUACUCAACAUCACUGUUCAUUAGGGAAAUGCAAAUCAAAACUACAAUAAGGUAUCACCUCAUACUUGUCAGAAUGGCUAAAAUCAACAACACAAACACCAGGUGUUGGCAAGGAUGUGGGGAAAGGGGAACCCUCUUGUACUGUUGGAGGGAAUGCAAGCUGGUGCAGCCACUCCGGAAAAUAGUAUGGAGGUUCCUCAAAAAGUUAAAAAUAGAACUACUGUAUGAUCCAACAAUUGCACUACUAAGUAUUUACCCAAAGGAUACAAUUCAAAGGGAUAUAUACACCCUGAUGUUUAUAGCAGCGUUGUCUAUAAUAGCCGAAUCAUGGGAAGAGUCCACGUGUCCAUUGAUGAAUGGAUAAAGAAGAUGUGGUAUUAUAUAUACAAAGGAAUAUUAGUCAUAAAAAGAAUGAAAUCUUUUCAUUUGCAAUGACAUGGAUGGAGCUAGAGAGUAUCAUGUGAAGCAAAUAAGUCAGAGAAAGACAAAGACAAAUACCGUAUGAAUUUACUCGUUUGUGGAAUUUAAGAACAAACCUAAUUCUAUUAGGGUACUUAUAGCAAAGGGGAAAAAAAAGAGAGAAAGACAAACCAAGAAACAGAUUCCUAAUUAUAGAGAACAAUCUGAUGGUUACCAGAGGGGAGGGGCAUGGGGAGGACGGGUGAAAUAGGUGAUGUGGAUUAAGGAGGGCACUUGUGAUGAGAAUUGGGUGGUGUUUGGAAUUGUUGAAUCACUAUAUUGUACACCUGAAAUUAAUAUAACAUUGUAUGUUAACUAUACUGGAAUUAAAAAAAAAAUGAUGAUGAUGAUGAUGAUGAAGAAAAGGCAUAAAAAAAUUACUGUUGUCUUUUCCUGGUUUAGUGGAGCUUCUGAGCAACUGUGGAAAUGUACAUGCUUACAAAGCUGGGUCUGUUUGUCAUCAAAGAAGGCCGUGAGUCCAAAACUCUUAAAAAGGCCUCCUCCCUCAGAGCAGCUUUUAUCCAAAGACUUUUGGACCAAAUGACUUCUAUCUCAUGUGAAUAUUUCCAGGCACAAAUAUUUCAUCAUGGUGAUACAGUUGAACAUGUGUACUUUUCAGUUAUUCUCAGGAAUAGAAUGGCAUUUAUCAUGUGCUAUGUAUAGACAUUAAAUAGGAGGCAUCAAAAGUCUGUGGUUAACUGGAUUCACCAA